RNAcentral lists this small nuclear RNA (107 nucleotides) under Catagonus wagneri (Chacoan peccary). The record is from RNAcentral. Lineage: Eukaryota; Metazoa; Chordata; Mammalia; Artiodactyla; Tayassuidae.
GUGCUCGCUUCGGCAGCACAUAUACUAAAACUGGAACAAUACAGAGAAGUUUAGCAUGGCCCCUGCGCAAGGAUGACACACAAAUUUGUGAAGCAUUCCAUAUUUUA